Molecule: long non-coding RNA, 1574 nt
Organism: Fukomys damarensis (Damara mole-rat)
Lineage: Eukaryota; Metazoa; Chordata; Mammalia; Rodentia; Bathyergidae
Exons: 5
Source: RefSeq, a predicted model, not a curated record
CGGAGCGGCGGCGCUGCUGCUCUUGACUUCUGAGCAGGGCUUAGAAAAUCUGCCCUGGCUUAAGCCGAGCUGCGGUUGUGGGCCCUGAGCGCCUAGUCCAUAGGCUCUGAGUCACAGACCUCGGAGACAAGGAGGCGUGGGGUGGGGGCGCUGGAGUGGCGGAGCCCCUGGCAAAGGCUCUCUGGGUCUCCAGCCUCGCAAUCCCCAUUCAGAGGAUCCCCGCUUCCGGCACGACAAGGUCAGAAUUUUCUUUUUCAAACUUGGCUUUGGGUUUUACGAGUCCACUCCGCACAGCCUGGAAGCGGGCCGACCCCAAAUGGAUCUCAACAGGUGGCUAGGAGACUACCUGAAGUUAACAAGGUCACGAGAAAACACUUCUGGAGGAUUCCAGCGCACAAGAUACCACUUCCAGUCACACGUGAAUUCGUGCACACAUACUCGGUACCCUGCACUCCGGAGGCCAGAGCCCCCAGAACCUCUGAGAAGAGAAGCACCCGGAACAUUCUGCAGCGAAGUGGCUGUAUGGGGGCCGUAGUGGAGAGCUCUAAGGAGACUUUUCCUCUUGCAUUCCACCUGGCCAGGCCAUAAUUCACCAGGAGAGGUCCCAAAGGUCCAGCUCUUCUCUGCCCAGAUGCUCUUCCCUCACAUUUCUGCAGUCAGCUCAAGUGGCGUCUUCUUCCAGAACCUUCCCUGAAGAACUGGUCUACCUUGUCCUGAAGUCACUCUGUUACAUCACUCUGAUGUCUCCGCAGCACUUCUCAUCCUCUGAAAUGACAUUUUCAGGCUUCCAUCCCCAUGCUGCCCUUGCCAUCCCUGAAGAACCAAAUCUGUAAACUUUCCGACUGGUCUUUGGUGCUCUGAUGUUUCAGAGGGAAGGAAAACACCUAUUAAAAAUGUUCGUUCCGGGCGGAUGGCUGCUUCCUGCAGCCUCCAGAGCCAGGGUAAUGAAUCUAGAAUCUCUGGUCGUUGCCCAAAUCUCAGAGGCUAGUAAUUAAAUUUCCGCUAACAGUUUGUUUUAUCACCUCAGUUAGCUUGUUGACAUAUAAUAGAUGCUGCUGAGAGGUACGUCUAGUUAAUGAUUUUCUUUUACAUAUUGAUAUUAGUACCUGGAGUGGGAACAUCUCCUCUUCAGAAUAUGAUUACUAUUUUGAAAUCUUGAGCGCAGGAGGGAAAUCCGUUUCUAUAAAUUAAACAAGAAGUUCUGAGAACUUCUAUCUUCCGUUCCCAUCCAGACACUAAUGCAUCUCAUUUACUUUGUGCUCUUUCCCUGAGUUAUCUGUGUCACACAGACGACUCUUGCAUGUCACGUUAACUAUCUAUUGAAAAAAAGCUCGAAGUGUGCUGGUAACAGCGCCCUGAGCCAGGAUGCGAGGUAGGGAGCAGAACAUGAAAAAUUCAUCACUGCUACAUUUCAAGUUGCUUGGAUGUUUUAAUUCGAAGAGGAAAGAACCUGUGUCAGCUAAAGAUGGUGCUAUAAUUAAACUGAUACGGCACUUGCAAUUGGCUCCAAACCUGCUCAAGUUGUCAUUUGUUUCUUUUCCCCAUCUUUAAACUACAUGAAAUCAAUUAUCUCU